Molecule: non-coding RNA, 332 nt
Organism: Pelodiscus sinensis (Chinese soft-shelled turtle)
Lineage: Eukaryota; Metazoa; Chordata; Testudines; Trionychidae
Source: RefSeq, a predicted model, not a curated record
UUGAUCUUUGCAGCAGCUGAUAAAGAUUAAACCGUAAUUGACUCAAAACAGGCCAGACAGCUUGUGCAGCUUGAAAAGCUUCAGAAGAGGCAAAGAUAAUGGAAGACAGCAAAAUUCUCACAAGCUGGUGAGAACUGAAGAUGUAAGAAAUAUCAAAGCUAUUUGCACUAUAAUUUACUUUUUGAGCUCCUGACAUUUACCCAGCUGACUAUCUUUGGAGAACAAUCGCUUGAUUUGGCUGGGAAACUCUAUAGGUAAGAAAACUGCAAUGCAUCAUACUGCAAUUUGUAACUGACAAAGUGCAUGGGCUUUGCAGCUUAAAGGGUGAGCUU